CAGUAGCCGCGGUAAUACAGAGGGUGCGAGCGUUAAUCGGAUUUACUGGGCGUAAAGCGUGCGUAGGCGGCUUUUUAAGUCGGAUGUGAAAUCCCUGAGCUUAACUUAGGAAUUGCAUUCGAUACUGGGAAGCUAGAGUAUGGGAGAGGAUGGUAGAAUUCCAGGUGUAGCGGUGAAAUGCGUAGAGAUCUGGAGGAAUACCGAUGGCGAAGGCAGUCAUCUGGCCUAAUACUGACGCUGAGGUACGAAAGCAUGGGGAGCAAACAGGAUUAGAGACCCCAGUAGUCCUGUCUCUUAUACA
Molecule: ribosomal RNA, 301 nt
Filed under: uncultured bacterium
Lineage: Bacteria
Description: partial 16S ribosomal RNA
Rfam family: Bacterial small subunit ribosomal RNA
Source: RNAcentral